GAUGAACGCUGGCGGCGUGCUUAACACAUGCCAGUCGAACGAGAAGUGAAGACGGAAACCUUCGGGCGGAAGGCUUUAUUUCGAGUGGCGGACGGGUGAGUAACGCGUGGGUAACCUGCCUCAUACAGGGGGAUAACAGUUGGAAACGACUGUUAAUACCGCAUAAGACCACAGCACCGCAUGGUGCGGGGGUAAAAACUCCGGUGGUAUGAGAUGGACCCGCGUUCGAUUAGCCAGUUGGCGGGGUAACGGCCCACCAAAGCGACGAUCGAUAGCCGAUCUGAGAGGAUGACCGGCCACAUUGGGACUGAGACACGGCCCAAACUCCUACGGGAGGCAGCAGUGGGGAAUAAUGCACAAUGGGGGAAACCCUGAUGCAGCGACGCCGCGUGAGUGAAGAAGUAUUUCGGUAUGUAAAGCUCUAUCAGCAGGGAAGAAAAUGACGGUACCUGAGUAAGAAGCCCCGGCUAACUACGUG
RNAcentral lists this ribosomal RNA (478 nucleotides) under uncultured bacterium. Its description in RNAcentral is "partial 16S ribosomal RNA". It matches the Rfam family "Bacterial small subunit ribosomal RNA", at positions 28 to 507 of the family's 1533-position model. The record is from RNAcentral.